This 254-nucleotide ribosomal RNA is filed under the name uncultured bacterium. RNAcentral describes it as "partial 16S ribosomal RNA". It matches the Rfam family "Bacterial small subunit ribosomal RNA", at positions 524 to 776 of the family's 1533-position model. The record is from RNAcentral.
UACGUAGGGGGCUAGCGUUGUCCGGAUUUAUUGGGCGUAAAGAGCGUGUAGGCGGCCAGGUAGGUCUGCUGUGAAAACUCGAGGCUUAACCUCGAGAUGUCGGCGGAAACCAUCUGGCUAGAGUCCGGAAGAGGAGAGUGGAAUUCCUGGUGUAGCGGUGAAAUGCGCAGAUAUCAGGAAGAACACCCGUGGCGAAGGCGGCUCUCUGGGACGGUACUGACGCCUGAGACGCGAAAGCGUGGGGAGCGAACAGG